Molecule: long non-coding RNA, 489 nt
Organism: Centruroides sculpturatus (bark scorpion)
Lineage: Eukaryota; Metazoa; Arthropoda; Arachnida; Scorpiones; Buthidae
Exons: 3
Source: RefSeq, a predicted model, not a curated record
UAAUUGUUUCUCGUAUUCAUUGUCUUCUUAAUAUUUUCGAUCCGUCUUCGUGCAAACGAAUCAAUUAGGAAUUUUACUAAUUUUUCUCUCGACAUGUUGCGAGCGACGAUAGAAGCGCCGCGUUGCGUCGAUUCGAAAGUUCGUGUCGUCUGUUCUUCAAUUCAAUUUAUUCAAUCGAUCAACGCUCGAGAAAUAAUUAUUUUAUUUUAUAUCCGAAUUUUAAAAAAUACCGAAUCUUUCAAACCUCUUCAAUAAAGGACGUUGUGAAAUUAGGCCUAACUUCAAAAAUGUCGUCUGUUUUCGCAAAACGAAUAGUGUUACGAAUGACUUUUGUACACGUACCUUCGCACAGAAAUCCCAAUGGGUAGAAUGGUAUCCAGAUGGUGUAUCUCAGCCAUGUCAGAAUGCCAAUGUCCACGCUAUAUGUUCUAAGCAUGUAAUAUGGAUAUCUGAAAUUAUCAAAUAAACAUUAAUAAAAUCUAUAUAAAA